AAGUCGUAACAAGGUUUCCGUAGGUGAACCUGCGGAAGGAUCAUUACAAUACGUUACCACGUAUAAACCAAACGGUUGAACUGAUUGCGUCCGAUAGGAGAAAUACAUAGUGGUGGUGGCCGGCGGCUUGGAGGUUGGAAUCACUCAACAAUCAAAACACAUUUACUCUCCCGAGUGGUGGUUUUGAGGUGAUCAAAAGUGCCUCGGUCGGUCGUUCUGUUGCGUCAAGUAACGGAAGCCCUUUUUUCCUAGUUCGCGCAUUGAAUUUUCCAAUGUCAAACACUUUUGCAUCGCCUUUUUUGUUUUCUUUUUUAACCCAUUUCACCUUUACUAUUAACAAUCAACGAACUAAAUCGAGAAUUUGGUCUUAACCGACCUGAAUUCUUGCGAUAUUACGAAACUUAAUAACAACUCUUAACAACGGAUAUCUUGGCUCUC
This 438-nucleotide unclassified non-coding RNA is filed under the name fungal sp. Its description in RNAcentral is "partial internal transcribed spacer region". The stretch from base 1 to 46 matches the Rfam family "Eukaryotic small subunit ribosomal RNA", at positions 1786 to 1831 of the family's 1831-position model. Lineage: Eukaryota; Fungi. The record is from RNAcentral.